CUACGGAGGAUCCGAGCGUUAUCCGGAUUUAUUGGGUUUAAAGGGUGCGCAGGCGGCCAUUUAAGUCAGCGGUUAAAUCUUGGGGCUCAACCCCAUUCUGCCGUUGAUACUGGGUGGCUUGAUUGCGGUCGAGGUUGGCGGAAUUCGUUGUGUAGCGGUGAAAUGCAUAGAUAUGACGAAGAACACCGAUUGCGUAGGCAGCUGACCAGACCGCAAAUGACGCUCAUGCACGAAAGUGCGGGGAUCGAACAGGAUUAGAUACCCUGGUAGUCCGCACAGUAAACGAUGAAUACUUGUUUUCGGCGAUAUAAUGUCGGAGGCAAAGCGAAAGCGAUAAGUAUUCCACCUGGGGAGUACGCCGGCAACGGUGAAACUCAAAUGAAUUGGCGGGG
This 392-nucleotide ribosomal RNA is filed under the name uncultured bacterium. Its description in RNAcentral is "partial 16S ribosomal RNA". It matches the Rfam family "Bacterial small subunit ribosomal RNA", at positions 523 to 918 of the family's 1533-position model. The record is from RNAcentral.